This 710-nucleotide ribosomal RNA is filed under the name uncultured Marivirga sp. Its description in RNAcentral is "bacterial SSU rRNA". It matches the Rfam family "Bacterial small subunit ribosomal RNA", at positions 95 to 813 of the family's 1533-position model. The record is from RNAcentral. Lineage: Bacteria; Pseudomonadati; Bacteroidota; Cytophagia; Cytophagales; Marivirgaceae.
GUGACGCACGGGUGCGUAACACGUAUGCAACCUACCCUUUACAGGAGUAUAGCUCGGGGAAACUCGAAUUAAUGCUCCAUGAAAUAGUUGAAUGGCAUCAUUUGAUUAUUAAAGCUGAGGUGGUAAAGGAUGGGCAUGCGUCUGAUUAGCUAGUUGGUAGUGUAACGGACUACCAAGGCGAUGAUCAGUAGGGGAACUGAGAGGUUGAUCCCCCACACUGGCACUGAGAUACGGGCCAGACUCCUACGGGAGGCAGCAGUAGGGAAUAUUGGUCAAUGGGUGAGAGCCUGAACCAGCCAUGCCGCGUGCAGGAAGACGGCCUUCUGGGUUGUAAACUGCUUUUGCCAGGGGCUAAAAAGUCCAUGCGUGGAAAAUUGAAAGUACCUGGUGAAUAAGCCACGGCUAACUACGUGCCAGCAGCCGCGGUAAUACGUAGGUGGCAAGCGUUGUCCGGAUUUAUUGGGUUUAAAGGGUGCGUANGCGGCUCUGUAAGUCAGUGCUGAAUAUCCCGGCUUACUGGGAGGGUGGCAUUGAUACUGUGGGGCUAGAGUACAGAUGAAGUAGGCGGAAUUGACGGUGUACCGGUGAANUGCUUAAAUAUCGUCAAGGACACCUAUAGCGAAGGCAGCUUACUAGCUGUAACUGACCUGAAGCCCCAAAGUGUGGGGAUCAACAGGAUAAAACCCUGGUAGUCCCCCUGUAACGUUGAU